This 439-nucleotide ribosomal RNA is filed under the name uncultured bacterium. RNAcentral's name for it is "bacterial SSU rRNA". It matches the Rfam family "Bacterial small subunit ribosomal RNA", at positions 958 to 1398 of the family's 1533-position model. The record is from RNAcentral.
AACGCGAAGAACCUUACCAGGUCUUGACAUCCCGCUGAUCGCUCUGGAGACAGAGCUUCCCUUCGGGGCAGCGGUGACAGGUGGUGCAUGGUUGUCGUCAGCUCGUGUCGUGAGAUGUUGGGUUAAGUCCCGCAACGAGCGCAACCCUUAUUUCUAGUUGCCAGCAUUCAGUUGGGCACUCUAGAGAGACUGCCGUCGACAAGACGGAGGAAGGCGGGGAUGACGUCAAAUCAUCAUGCCCCUUAUGACCUGGGCUACACACGUGCUACAAUGGUUGGUACAACGGGAUGCUACCUCGCGAGGGGACGCCAAUCUCUUAAAACCAAUCUCAGUUCGGAUUGUAGGCUGCAACUCGCCUACAUGAAGUCGGAAUCGCUAGUAAUCGCGGAUCAGCAUGCCGCGGUGAAUACGUUCCCGGGCCUUGUACACACCGUAGUAC